CCAAAGGCUCUUUUAAGAGCCACCCACAAUUUCAGAAAGAGCUGG
Chelonia mydas (Green sea turtle) is the source of this 45-nucleotide non-coding RNA. The record is from Rfam. Lineage: Eukaryota; Metazoa; Chordata; Testudines; Cheloniidae.